This 250-nucleotide ribosomal RNA is filed under the name uncultured microorganism. RNAcentral describes it as "partial 16S ribosomal RNA". It matches the Rfam family "Archaeal small subunit ribosomal RNA", at positions 330 to 583 of the family's 1478-position model. The record is from RNAcentral.
GUGCACCAGUCGCGAAUACUUUACAAUGUGCGAAAGCACGAUAAGGGAACUCUGAGUGCCUCCUAAGGAGGCUGUUCAGGUGUCUUAAAAAGCACCUGAAGGAAGGGCUGGGUAAGACCGGUGCCAGCCGCCGCGGUAACACCGGCAGCCCAAGUGGUAGGCCACGUUUAUUGGGUCUAAAGCGUCCGUAGCCGGCUGGGUAAGUUCCUUGGGAAAUUUGGCUGCUUAACAGUCAAGCUUUCAGGGAAUA